UACGGAGGGUGCUAGCGUUGUUCGGAAUCACUGGACGUAAAGCGCACGCAGGCGGAUCGAUAAGUCGGGGGUGAAAGCCCGGGGCUCAACCUCGGAAUUGCCUUCGAUACUGUCGGGCUCGAGUCCGGGAGAGGUUAGUGGAAUUCCUAGUGUAGAGGUGAAAUUCGUAGAUAUUAGGAAGAACACCAGUGGCGAAGGCGGCUCACUGGCCCGGUACUGACGCUCAGGUGCGAAAGCGUGGGGAGCAAACAGG
This 253-nucleotide ribosomal RNA is filed under the name uncultured bacterium. RNAcentral's name for it is "partial 16S ribosomal RNA". It matches the Rfam family "Bacterial small subunit ribosomal RNA", at positions 524 to 776 of the family's 1533-position model. The record is from RNAcentral.